UUUACUGUUGUUAGUUUGAUGAGAUUUUGUAUAGAAAGACGAGACGUAAACAUAUGUAUGUAGAUUGUAUUUUUUUUUUUACACACAUCUCAAUAAAUAUAUCUAGACUUUCAUAAUUUUCGAAUUUGGUCUAGUCAACCGGAAUUAUUGUGUGAAGCAAACAUUGCGAAUGUUUUUUGGCCUUGAGCACUUUAUAAUUGACUUUUUGUUUUGGCAAAAUUUGCAAACAAUGGCCAAAAGCUUAAAUGGAAUUUGUCAUUGGGUGAAAGUUGAGACGGGGCACAACUCCUCUGCGCAGAGUGCGAGAGGGAGGGGAAAGAGGUUGAAGAGCAGGCGAAUGAAUAAAAUCUAUGUAAGCCCGGCUCUAGCGGCACUUUUGAUGAGUAAUGCUAAAGAGCGGGAGGGAGCGAGACAGAAAGAAUGGUAUGCGAGAGUAAGAAGGGCGGAGCGACAUUGUUGUUUGUUAUAAAACACUUGGCACGUUUAUUGCUGGCUAAAGCUGUUGAGCCCAGCGCCCAAUGUAAAUGCAAAUGCAAAUGCAAUAAAAGCAACAACAACAACAGCAGCAAAAUAAUUAUAAUCGAAAAUGAAAGUGCUGUAUAAGACAAUGCACUUUAUAAGUAAAUAUUAUAAAUAAUUGCAUAAGGGAAGAGGAGGAGGUGGAGGAGGAGGAGGAGGAGGAAGCGACAUUGCAAUUGGAAUUGUCAAUGUCAAGGUGAAUGAAUAUAUUUUUGAUUGUUGGCGCUGAGGCGCGCAGUAGAGAAAUAGGAAAUGAGUCAAAACGUUGCCUUGCACAGUGGGGCAAAGAAGACAAUUUGGUAAAAUAAUAUUUUGUAUAAUAUAAAUACAACAUGAAAAGUUCUAUUUAAUCAACCGUUGCAACUCUCCCCACCAUCGUUUGCCUCAAAACAUUUGCUCACGUACUUCCACCGUUUAUAACUGGGUUUUUCUUUCUGAUUUCUGAUUAGAUUGAUGUCCUAACUUUAAAUAGGUCUGAUUCAGACAAACUUUCUCUUUCACAACAAUCGUUACUGAUGCUUUAUCAGCCAGUUGAGCUCACAGGUUUCACCAUUAUCUGUGCCAUUGUUAACACUGACAGCAUUAAGUGUUGCAAAAACAUUCAAGUCAAAUACUGCAAAAUGUUGCAAAGUAAAAGGCUCUUUGUUGAUAUAGAAAUAAAGAUAAAGCAAGAAUAUAUGUAUCUUUGUUGGGCAUACCUGACUGUCCGAUACUUGCUCCCAACUGAUGUAAAUCAAUUCAAAGAUAUUUCUAUAACCAAUUAAUCAUAGGUCUAACUGCAGGAAAAGCUCGUAAUCAGUAAAAAUUGUAUGAGUGGGUGUAACUACAUAUAUCCAUUAAUUUAUUUAUUUUUUCAUUCAACUUUAAAGAAAUGUUUGACUUUUUGUUUUCUUCACUCGCUUUUUAUCUCAUAAGUAAAUAUUGUUUAUCUCGGCGCUUUUUUUUUUCUACUUUUUCAUGGGGCUUACGGAUGCCUGACGUGUGUUAUCAGUGCGAAAUUAAUAGUGUUAGUGUUAUAAUUAACACAUAUUCACAUAGAUAUAUGUAUAUAUAGAGAGAGAGAGAGAGAGAGAGAGCGAGGCAUUGAUGGCGAUGGAAGAUAACUGAAUACGCUUAACGCAGUGGCAAUAUUUUGUUUGUUGACAUGAACUCCCGAUUGGCUCCAGUAUCUAUAAACAGCUUAACCCCGAUGAUUGAUUGAUUAAAGCCUAAGAGUUAAAUUGUAGGGUAGCAGCAAAUCGUUCAGCAACAGUCGUAUAUUUGAUUUCCUAGGGUAUCUUCACGUCGCAUCGUCGUUGAUUGAUCAGAAGUUAGUUAGGAUAUCUGCCAGUUGAUCGGGAAAGUAGAUAAAAACAUGUAGACAAGUUUUUGAGACUGAUUGAUUGAUUGACUAAGGUAUCUGGUAGUCGCUCAUGCAGUUAUCAGUCAGAUGGUUGACUUGAUAGGGUAUCUGCUAGUCGAUUCUGCCUGUUUAUGCUUCUUUUAUGUGUGUUUGGCUUAUCGUCGCUUCAUACGUACAUAUGUCUGCAUAUUUUUUAGCUUUCGAUAAGAGCGGAGUGUGAAGGGCAAAACCACGAUUAUCUUAUUAGAAACGCGUCAGCUGCCGGAGUACUGAUUAUAAUUAUUAUUAUUGUUGCUCUUCGCAUUUGUAAUAUAUUGUCAAGGGGUUAAUCAGAGUUCAGCAAGAUUGUAAUUGUAAUUGUAAUGGUAAUUGUUGAUUAAAUACAAAAUGUUCUUAUCAAUCGCAGUCGGAAAUCAUUUGGAAUACAUUUUGAUUAACAUCGCGCUGUUAGCAGAAGAAGAAGCAGAAAUGCAAACAAAUAAUUAAUGAUUAUGUUAACGGUAAGUAUGUGCGGUCAGACAAACUGACAGACUGUUCACGUGCAAGCCGAAUGAAUGCGACACCAGCAGCAGCAGCAACAGCAACAGCUGGUUGAUGGCAAAGAUAAGCGAUGGGGAAAGGAAUGUUUGGCGAGAAUAGAAGUGGAAGAGGAAGACAGCAACGAGAGCAAUGAGUGCACGAGAUAUAUAAGGUGAAAGAGAGCGAGAGAGGUAGGGAGAGGCAGGUAGAGGCUGCAUGCCAAUUGGAAUAUGUGAAAUCUAGUUCUGUUAGUAAAGAUAGACAAAUUGCAGAUAACGGUAUGCAUAUGAAAAGAGAAUGAGAUACAUGUAUGAAGAGAUGGAAUGAGAUGAAUGAAGAGAGAGCGCAAGAUUAAGAGAGGAGAUGUUGAUGAGGAGGUUGAGAAUAAAAAAGAGACAGGGGUAGUAUAAAUACGAUCUAUUCAAGCAGCAAAAUGAAUCCGAUUGGACAAUGUCGUUAAUGUGAAUGAUCUUGAGGCAAUGGGCAAUGAGCUAUAAAUUCUGGUUAAGCACUUGGAAAGGAUUCCAGCUAGAGUAGCACUGGAAAGUUUUGGAAAGCUGUUGUGAUUGCAAUCAAAUGUUUUUGUUUUUGUUUGUGUUCUCUUCCCUCUCCUCUCUCCUCUCUUCUCUCUUCAUGCAUUGGCGUGAGCUCGCCUAUCGCCUGUUUCAGAUCGCUAAUCGCAGGUCAAAUUUGGUUUCUAGUGACGCAUUUCCAUUUGUAUUGCUGCUGCCAGCCCUAAUCAGUAUAUUCACCACAAAUCUAUAUUAGAGAAGACGUAUAGAAUAUGUGUAUGUAUGCGUAUGUACGUAAUUAUAUGAAUAUGCAAAUUGUCAGGCUGCGGCUCUUCUGACUAUUGUUCAAUUGCACUUGGAGUCACUUAAGUGUAUCCCCCUCCCUCAUUCGUAGCCCUGCCCUAGAGCCUUUCAGUCCAGUUGGCAUCUUGCGCAAGCGGGCGAUUGCAAACUAGUUCACACACACACACACACGCACGCGCGCGGAGAGAUAGAUAGAUUUGCUGCCAAUCAGAAUCAAAGCGAAAAAUCGCGCCAUUUGAUUUCGAAUUUUUUUUAUACUUUUUUUUUGCGUAGUUUUCGUUUUACAGCUACUUUUUAUGUGUGGUGUUGUUGUUGUAGUUUUUCGCGUUGCUUUUCGUUUGAUUUGUUGACCUCUGUCGUUGCCGGCAAGCAAGCAGGCGAGCAAGCAAGCAAGCAAAAAGUUUACAGUUACAAACUGCGCUGCCGACUGCGCAGCUGGUAGUGCUGCUGCUGCUGCUGCUGCGUAACAAUUUCGCUUCGCUUCAAACUUUUUGCAUUUAGUGCACAAUUUUUAGUAUUGCCGCAUUGAGCGUUGUGUCUGCUGCUAUACAGAUUUUUUCUCUCACUUCAUCUUUAUUUUUUAUGUUUUUUCUUUAGUGUUUAUAUUGUUGUUGUUAUUGUUCUCCUUAUAAUUUUGCGCUCGCGCGUUUGCAUCUAUCUCGCUCGCUCGCUCGCUUGCUCGCGCUGCUUUACAACUUUAAACUUGGUCGCAGCUAGCAACAACAACAACAA
RNAcentral lists this small RNA (3927 nucleotides) under Drosophila mojavensis. RNAcentral's name for it is "GI26913". Lineage: Eukaryota; Metazoa; Arthropoda; Insecta; Diptera; Drosophilidae. The record is from RNAcentral.